Molecule: small nuclear RNA, 77 nt
Filed under: Octodon degus (degu)
Lineage: Eukaryota; Metazoa; Chordata; Mammalia; Rodentia; Octodontidae
Source: RNAcentral
GUGCUCGCUUCGGCAGCACAUAUACUAAAAUUGGAAUGAUACAGAGAAGAUUAGCAAGGCCCCUGAGUAAGAAGGAC